Capra hircus (goat) is the source of this 487-nucleotide long non-coding RNA. RefSeq lists it as uncharacterized. The transcript is spliced from 5 exons. The record is from RefSeq and is a predicted model, not a curated record. NCBI's taxonomy places the organism in Eukaryota, Metazoa, Chordata, Mammalia, Artiodactyla, Bovidae.
CGUCGUCCCAUCCUCACCGACUGCAGCCUCCUGAGCUUCUUCAGUAGCGGCUUUGCGUUUCAGGCCUUUCUUUCCGCUGCCGCCGCUCUUGUCUCCGGCCUUCGCCAUGGGAGUGUAGAUAAAGAACUGAAAUUGAGAAGAGAAUGAUGAACUGAACCCUGAAGCAGUCUCACAUGAAGAGCUAGAAAGAAAAGGAGGACCUAGUAAAGGAGAAUGAGAAUGGAAAAUCAAGAGAGUAGAGUGUCAUGAAAGCGAACAUGUUUUCCCAAUCUAGAUGCUAAACUAAACAUUGUUGAGGAAAAAAGACAUCAUGCUUGCCCUCAGGUAGCUUACAGUUUGGAAGAAGAUAAAACAGAAUUCUAGUGUUGACACACUACACAGUAUCAAAAAAGUCACAAUGUUGAAAUCACUACUGGUCUCAUCAGAGAAGUCUUCUGGUGCUAAGUACUCCUUGGAAGGAAAGUUAUGACCAACCUCGACAGCAUAU